ACUAAGCGUACACGGUGGAUGCCCUGGCAGUCAGAGGCGAUGAAGGACGUGCUAAUCUGCGAUAAGCGUCGGUAAGGUGAUAUGAACCGUUAUAACCGGCGAUUUCCGAAUGGGGAAACCCAGUGUGAUUCGUCACACUAUCAUUAACUGAAUCCAUAGGUUAAUGAGGCGAACCGGGGGAACUGAAACAUCUAAGUACCCCGAGGAAAAGAAAUCAACCGAGAUUCCCCCAGUAGCGGCGAGCGAACGGGGAGCAGCCCAGAGCCUGAAUCAGUGUGUGUGUUAGUGGAAGCGUCUGGAAAGGCGCGCGAUACAGGGUGACAGCCCCGUACACAAAAAUGCACAUGCUGUGAGCUCGAUGAGUAGGGCGGGACACGUGGUAUCCUGUCUGAAUAUGGGGGGACCAUCCUCCAAGGCUAAAUACUCCUGACUGACCGAUAGUGAACCAGUACCGUGAGGGAAAGGCGAAAAGAACCCCGGCGAGGGGAGUGAAAAAGAACCUGAAACCGUGUACGUACAAGCAGUGGGAGCACGCUUAGGCGUGUGACUGCGUACCUUUUGUAUAAUGGGUCAGCGACUUAUAUUCUGUAGCAAGGUUAACCGAAUAGGGGAGCCGAAGGGAAACCGAGUCUUAACUGGGCGUUAAGUUGCAGGGUAUAGACCCGAAACCCGGUGAUCUAGCCAUGGGCAGGUUGAAGGUUGGGUAACACUAACUGGAGGACCGAACCGACUAAUGUUGAAAAAUUAGCGGAUGACUUGUGGCUGGGGGUGAAAGGCCAAUCAAACCGGGAGAUAGCUGGUUCUCCCCGAAAGCUAUUUAGGUAGCGCCUCGUGAAUUCAUCUCCGGGGGUAGAGCACUGUUUCGGCAAGGGGGUCAUCCGGACUUACCAACCCGAUGCAAACUGCGAAUACCGGAGAAUGUUAUCACGGGAGACACACGGCGGGUGCUAACGUCCGUCGUGAAGAGGGAAACAACCCAGACCGCCAGCUAAGGUCCCAAAGUCAUGGUUAAGUGGGAAACGAUGUGGGAAGGCCCAGACAGCCAGGAUGUUGGCUUAGAAGCAGCCAUCAUUUAAAGAAAGCGUAAUAGCUCACUGGUCGAGUCGGCCUGCGCGGAAGAUGUAACGGGGCUAAACCAUGCACCGAAGCUGCGGCAGCGACACUAUGUGUUGUUGGGUAGGGGAGCGUUCUGUAAGCCUGUGAAGGUGUACUGUGAGGUAUGCUGGAGGUAUCAGAAGUGCGAAUGCUGACAUAAGUAACGAUAAAGCGGGUGAAAAGCCCGCUCGCCGGAAGACCAAGGGUUCCUGUCCAACGUUAAUCGGGGCAGGGUGAGUCGACCCCUAAGGCGAGGCCGAAAGGCGUAGUCGAUGGGAAACAGGUUAAUAUUCCUGUACUUGGUGUUACUGCGAAGGGGGGACGGAGAAGGCUAUGUUGGCCGGGCGACGGUUGUCCCGGUUUAAGCGUGUAGGCUGGUUUUCCAGGCAAAUCCGGAAAACUAAGGCUGAGGCGUGAUGACGAGGCACUACGGUGCUGAAGCAACAAAUGCCCUGCUUCCAGGAAAAGCCUCUAAGCAUCAGGUAACAUCAAAUCGUACCCCAAACCGACACAGGUGGUCAGGUAGAGAAUACCAAGGCGCUUGAGAGAACUCGGGUGAAGGAACUAGGCAAAAUGGUGCCGUAACUUCGGGAGAAGGCACGCUGAUAUGUAGGUGAAGUCCCUCGCGGAUGGAGCUGAAAUCAGUCGAAGAUACCAGCUGGCUGCAACUGUUUAUUAAAAACACAGCACUGUGCAAACACGAAAGUGGACGUAUACGGUGUGACGCCUGCCCGGUGCCGGAAGGUUAAUUGAUGGGGUCAGCGCAAGCGAAGCUCUUGAUCGAAGCCCCGGUAAACGGCGGCCGUAACUAUAACGGUCCUAAGGUAGCGAAAUUCCUUGUCGGGUAAGUUCCGACCUGCACGAAUGGCGUAAUGAUGGCCAGGCUGUCUCCACCCGAGACUCAGUGAAAUUGAACUCGCUGUGAAGAUGCAGUGUACCCGCGGCAAGACGGAAAGACCCCGUGAACCUUUACUAUAGCUUGACACUGAACAUUGAGCCUUGAUGUGUAGGAUAGGUGGGAGGCUUUGAAGUGUGGACGCCAGUCUGCAUGGAGCCGACCUUGAAAUACCACCCUUUAAUGUUUGAUGUUCUAACGUUGACCCGUGAUCCGGGUUGCGGACAGUGUCUGGUGGGUAGUUUGACUGGGGCGGUCUCCUCCUAAAGAGUAACGGAGGAGCACGAAGGUUGGCUAAUCCUGGUCGGACAUCAGGAGGUUAGUGCAAUGGCAUAAGCCAGCUUGACUGCGAGCGUGACGGCGCGAGCAGGUGCGAAAGCAGGUCAUAGUGAUCCGGUGGUUCUGAAUGGAAGGGCCAUCGCUCAACGGAUAAAAGGUACUCCGGGGAUAACAGGCUGAUACCGCCCAAGAGUUCAUAUCGACGGCGGUGUUUGGCACCUCGAUGUCGGCUCAUCACAUCCUGGGGCUGAAGUAGGUCCCAAGGGUAUGGCUGUUCGCCAUUUAAAGUGGUACGCGAGCUGGGUUUAGAACGUCGUGAGACAGUUCGGUCCCUAUCUGCCGUGGGCGCUGGAGAACUGAGGGGGGCUGCUCCUAGUACGAGAGGACCGGAGUGGACGCAUCACUGGUGUUCGGGUUGUCAUGCCAAUGGCACUGCCCGGUAGCUAAAUGCGGAAGAGAUAAGUGCUGAAAGCAUCUAAGCACGAAACUUGCCCCGAGAUGAGUUCUCCCUGACUCCUUGAGAGUCCUGAAGGAACGUUGAAGACGACGACGUUGAUAGGCCGGAUGUGUAAGCGCAGCGAUGCGUUGAGCUAACCGGUACUAAUGAACCGUGAGGCUUAACC
RNAcentral lists this ribosomal RNA (2892 nucleotides) under Escherichia coli. RNAcentral describes it as "bacterial LSU rRNA". It matches the Rfam family "Bacterial large subunit ribosomal RNA". Lineage: Bacteria; Pseudomonadati; Pseudomonadota; Gammaproteobacteria; Enterobacterales; Enterobacteriaceae. The record is from RNAcentral.